This is a non-coding RNA of Pelobates cultripes (western spadefoot toad), 370 nucleotides long. The record is from the annotation of a GenBank genome assembly. NCBI's taxonomy places the organism in Eukaryota, Metazoa, Chordata, Amphibia, Anura, Pelobatidae.
UCUACUUGUAAACUUGAUUACAAAAUUAAAAUUGAAAACUUGAAUAAAAUCCCACUAUAGUUUAUUUGAGUUUCAUUAUCAGUCAGUGAAUGGCUGACAAAAUCCCAAAUUAGAGGUCAUCGCUAUUGUCCUUGCCUUUUAUUUAAGAGUACUCCAGCCACCCAUAGAUUUCCAAGCUCCAUGUAUGCACUAUGGGAUGGAUAAAUGGAUGGAACGAUGGACAGAUGGACUGUCACAGAGAGGGAGCGAGAGAGGGAUGGAUGGACAAAUUGAAGAGAAACGUCUGUCUUAUUGCUUUAAUUAUUUGAUCAAGCUGAACUUUGAAUAUACCUGACAUUCCUAAAACUCUAUCUACUACUUCUUGUUUACC